UUAAGUAUUACAUUAAAUCAUUAAUAUUUACUAAUUAUUAAAUAAAUAUCUUAACAAACUUAUAUUUGAUGUAUAAAAUAGGUUCCUAUACGAGUUUGAUUUGGGGGUCAGGUUCGUGUUAAGUUCGAGUGUUGAUAAAAACAACACCAAAUUCCGUAUUUGUCAGACUAUUUUUUUUAGACUUUGAUACUUAUAACCAUACAUUACCCAUUUUGCAUCAAUUGAAUAUAAUCCUUUCAAAUUUAGUGUCAAAUAAAAUUUUAGAUAUCCAUACACAUUGACAUCCCUAAGAGCCCUGCCUUGUGGUUGAGAACCCUAGAUUGAGAAAUC
This 330-nucleotide long non-coding RNA is filed under the name Ananas comosus (pineapple). Its description in RNAcentral is "long non-coding RNA (ACOM_LNC011039)". The record is from RNAcentral. Lineage: Eukaryota; Viridiplantae; Streptophyta; Magnoliopsida; Poales; Bromeliaceae.